Long non-coding RNA from Hippoglossus stenolepis (Pacific halibut), 1468 nucleotides. RefSeq lists it as uncharacterized. The record is from RefSeq and is a predicted model, not a curated record. The transcript has 2 exons. Lineage: Eukaryota; Metazoa; Chordata; Actinopteri; Pleuronectiformes; Pleuronectidae.
UGCAGGUUUGAGUAGGUCCCAACAACAGAUGGCCAACUCAUGACAUCCAGCAGCUCUGUGGCCCCACUGUCUCACACAGUCAAUGCAGUGAAGGGGAAGGAGAUCAGAGCUCACCUCUGUGGCUGAAGCAGCGUGACGCUAUCAGUCUCUAAGAGGAUCGACUCUGCAGACAACAAAGUCCUGGAUAUCUCUAAUCCCUUGGAUCCGUUAGAGGUCAUUCACACGGCACAUCCCGCAAAUCACUGCCCGGCACAACCCGCAGCACGACACCCCCCUGUCCGUCCAGCUCAUGUCCCGGUUCACCGCGGUGUUUCCCUCCUGGUCAGCCGCUCCAUUGUUCAUUAGCUGCUCCUCUUCUCGGCUCCAGCGGCUGCGCCUCGGAUCCACGGCUCAGACACUCCCAGAGCCGCGUGUACUGCGCAUGCGCCGUGCUCACAGGACGUGCUCACGCGUGACUGAUGCUGCAUUCAGGCGCUGCUCUGCUUCCAGCUCCACAUCAUAGAAAGGAGCCUCACAUCCAUACAUAUGAAGUGCUAAGAAAAUAAACCUCCUAUUCGUGUUUGGAAAAGAGAAGCAGAAUCUUAUACCAGCUCAUAGUCUCCCUGCGAUAAUAGAAAAGCAGUAAAAACAUUCAGUCUUUGCACCAAAUGUAUUAUAUUAUUUCAAUAUAUCUAUUUUUUUUAUUAUAUCUGUUUACUUUAUCACUCUGUAUUUGUUAAUGUGAACCUUUAUUAUUGUACAGUAUUUAUCUGUUUUUGUCUUUUUUUUAUGUUUAUGUGCUUUAAAUGGUUUUGUCAAUUUGUCAAUAAAGUUUGCUGCUUGCAAUGGGAAUAUAUAUAUAUAUAUAUAUAUAUUGAAUUGAAUAAAUAAGUAAUCAGGAGCCUUAUUCAAGCAGCAUAGACAAGUCCAAUAAAGAAAAAAGUUCCAGGGUAUUUCCGUAGAACAUUUGUGUCUAUUCUUUCAUCCGUUGAUAUGGGGCUUGAUUUAUAAAUUGUUACAUCUGAAUAAAGGAGUUCAAACAAAAUCAGGAUAUACCUAGAAAAAAUCUAGGUUUUUGUCCUUCAUACGUACUCUAGCUUUAAUCAACAUCCCACUCAUAGGUUUUGUCCUUAUUUCUCUGGAUCGAGCUGAAGACCAAAAUUCUUCUCAGUGAGAAGUAUUCAAAAAUAUGAGCCUGUCAUGGUGAAAUCAGAAAGUGAUAUUUUUUUUGUGAGGACCAUCCAGAAACAGUCCCAGCUUUUUCUGGCACUGUCCCAACCGAUUCUGGCAAGACUUUCGUUUUCAAUGUUUGCCAUUGACAAUGUUUUCAAAGACUGUUUUGUGAACUUAUUCGUCCUUUUGUACAUUAUCUAUCCAUAAAUGCUAAUUUAGUCAUACAAAUAAUUUUGUUCAAGAUGUUGAACAAUAUAUAAAUCAGAUUACUAAAUCUUAUGACAACAAAGCUAUCAAGCCCAUAACAUGUCAUUUU